Molecule: ribosomal RNA, 429 nt
Filed under: uncultured archaeon
Lineage: Archaea
Description: bacterial SSU rRNA
Rfam family: Archaeal small subunit ribosomal RNA
Source: RNAcentral
UACCAGCUCUCCGAGUGGUAGGGAUGUUUAUUGGGCUUAAAGCGUCCGUAGCCGGCUUAGCAAGUCUCCUGUUAAAUUCAGCGACCUAAUCGUUGAGCCGCGGGAGAUACUACUAGGCUAGGAGGCGGGAGAGGUCAACGGUACUUCCGGGGUAGGGGUGAAAUCCUAUAAUCCCGGGAGGACCACCAGUGGCGAAGGCUGUUGACUAGAACGCGCUCGACGGUGAGGGACGAAAGCUGGGGGAGCGAACCGGAUUAGAUACCCGGGUAGUCCCAGCUGUAAACGAUGCGAGCUAGGUGUUGGGGUGGCUACGUGCCACUUCAGUGCCGCAGGGAAGCCAUUAAGCUCGCCGCCUGGGGAGUACGGCCGCAAGGCUGAAACUUAAAGGAAUUGGCGGGGGAGCACCACAAGGCGUGAAGCUGGCGGUUC